RNAcentral lists this ribosomal RNA (473 nucleotides) under Klebsiella variicola. RNAcentral's name for it is "partial 23S ribosomal RNA". It matches the Rfam family "Bacterial large subunit ribosomal RNA", at positions 159 to 675 of the family's 2925-position model. The record is from RNAcentral. Lineage: Bacteria; Pseudomonadati; Pseudomonadota; Gammaproteobacteria; Enterobacterales; Enterobacteriaceae.
UGAAUACAUAGGUUAACGAGGCGAACCGGGGGAACUGAAACAUCUAAGUACCCCGAGGAAAAGAAAUCAACCGAGAUUCCCCCAGUAGCGGCGAGCGAACGGGGGGCAGCCCAGAGUCUGAAUCAGCUUGUGUGUUAGUGGAACGGUCUGGAAAGUCCGACGGUACAGGGUGAUAGUCCCGUACACCAAAAUGCACAGGUUGUGAACUCGAAGAGUAGGGCGGGACACGUGGUAUCCUGUCUGAAUAUGGGGGGACCAUCCUCCAAGGCUAAAUACUCCUGACUGACCGAUAGUGAACCAGUACCGUGAGGGAAAGGCGAAAAGAACCCCGGCGAGGGGAGUGAAAAAGAACCUGAAACCGUGUACGUACAAGCAGUGGGAGCACCUUCGGGUGUGACUGCGUACCUUUUGUAUAAUGGGUCAGCGACUUAUAUUCUGUAGCAAGGUUAACCGUAUAGGGGAGCCGCAGGGAA